Molecule: transfer RNA, 52 nt
Filed under: Pyemotes zhonghuajia
Lineage: Eukaryota; Metazoa; Arthropoda; Arachnida; Trombidiformes; Pyemotidae
Description: tRNA-Pro
Source: RNAcentral
CAGAAAAUAGUUUUUAGAAUAUUAGUUUUGGAGACUAAAGGUUUAUUUCUGA